Molecule: long non-coding RNA, 655 nt
Organism: Megalops cyprinoides (Indo-Pacific tarpon)
Lineage: Eukaryota; Metazoa; Chordata; Actinopteri; Elopiformes; Megalopidae
Exons: 3
Source: RefSeq, a predicted model, not a curated record
AAGGAAGUGCUGCUGGUCCUGGAGCGACCUGUACCAUGCAAGGACCUGUGUGACUUCCUGGAGGAUGAAGGGGACUGGCUGGUGGAGGACGAGGCCAAGGUCAUCAUGAGGCAGUUGGUGGAGGCCACGCUGGACAUCCACUCGAGGGGCGUGGUGCACCACGACCUCAAGCCCAAGAACGUGCUGGUCGAGACAAGCUCGGGGCAGCCGCGGGUGCACGUUAUCGACUUCGGCUGAGGUAGCGUGCUCCGUGAGAAGCCCUACACCAGCUUCAGCGGCACCCGCGCCUACACCGCCCCCGAGUGGUACCAGAAACAUGAGUUCUACACUGGGCCUUCCACCGUCUGGCAGCUGGGGGUGGUCCUCCACCAGAUGUUAACUGGGGAGAGACCCUUCAAUGGAAAAAAGGAGAUUGUCCACAAGCAGCUGGAUCUCUGGAGCUUUCUCUCUGGAGACUGCCAGGACCUUCUCCACCGCUGCCUUGAUAAGCGGCCUCUGGCCAGGCCCACCAUGGCCGAAAUUCUCCAGCACCCCUGGCUCCAGUGACGCCUCCAGCCAGACCAGGAAGAAGGGCCUUGAGCACAGCGCACCUGAGGGACGGGCUGAGAGCCGAAAACAGAAACAUUCGAUCACUUCAGUGCUGCUUCAUGACACU